Molecule: non-coding RNA, 261 nt
Organism: Sorex fumeus (smoky shrew)
Lineage: Eukaryota; Metazoa; Chordata; Mammalia; Eulipotyphla; Soricidae
Source: RefSeq, a predicted model, not a curated record
UAGACUAGGAAUUGCACAAGCUUGGUGGUAACCUGAAUUCACCAGAUUUCUCAGGAGGAAACUGAGGCACAACUUCCCAAGCUCCAGUAAUGUAAGUGCAAUUUUCCUCUGACAGUUCUUGGGGCACUGUUGGCAUGGUGAUAAUGACAAGGAAGUGUCAUUAUUUUUUUUUAGUAACAGUAAGAGAAGCUAUUCAGUCAGGAUAUUGUUAAACAGAUGGAGUGGUUUUGGUUUUUGUAGAUACUAAAUACUGCUACAGUU